Molecule: unclassified non-coding RNA, 425 nt
Filed under: soil metagenome
Description: partial contains 5.8S ribosomal RNA, internal transcribed spacer 2, and large subunit ribosomal RNA
Rfam family: 5.8S ribosomal RNA (bases 1-120)
Source: RNAcentral
GAUGAAGAACGCAGCGAAAUGCGAUAAGUAGUGUGAAUUGCAGAAUUCCGUGAAUCAUCGAAUCUUUGAACGCACAUUGCGCCUUCUGGUAUUCCGGAAGGCAUGCCUGUUCGAGAGUCAUCAACAACCGUUUCGAUCCCUUUCUUUCAGAAAUUACAAAGAGGAAAAGGGUUUGGUUAUGGUGGAGGAGGGAAAGGGAGCGUUUAGCCUGUAAAAAAAGAGGCUGUGUUCCGCCUCCCCCCCAAAAUUGUACAGGCGGUCGUGUGCGCCCACGCAUCGAGGUGUUGUAAAAGCUGCCACGGCACUUUUCACCUGUGCAGUGCGAGAUUGGCCAGCCGGUUUAAAAACCCCUCCAAACAAUCAAAGGUUGACCUCGGAUCAGGUAGGGAUACCCGCUGAACUUAAGCAUAUCAAUAAGCGGAGGA